AUUAUUGGGCGUAAAGAGCUUGUAGGCGGCUUGUCGCGUCUGCUGUGAAAACCCGGGGCUUAACCCCGGGCUUGCAGUGGGUACGGGCAGGCUAGAGUGUGGUAGGGGAGACUGGAAUUCCUGGUGUAGCGGUGGAAUGCGCAGAUAUCAGGAGGAACACCGAUGGCGAAGGCAGGUCUCUGGGCCAUUACUGACGCUGAGAAGCGAAAGCGUGGGGAGCGAACAGGAUUAGAUACCCUGGUAGUCCACGCCGUAAACGUUGGGCGCUAGGUGUGGGUCCCAUUCCACGGGGUCCGUGCCGCAGCUAACGCAUUAAGCGCCCCGCCUGGGGAGUACGGCCGCAAGGCUAAAACUCAAAGGAAUUGACGGGGGCCCGCACAAGCGGCGGAGCAUGCGGAUUAAUUCGAUGCAACGCGAAGAACCUUACCAAGGCUUGACAUAUACCGGAAACUCUCAGAGAUGGGGGCCCCGCAAGGUCGGUAUACAGGUGGUGCAUGGUUGUCGUCAGCUCGUGUCGCGAGAUGUUGGGUUAAGUCCCGCAACGAGCGCAACCCUCGUUCUAUGUUGCCAGCACGUGAUGGUGGGGACUCAUAGGAGACUGCCGGGGUCAACUCGGAGGAAGGUGGGGAUGACGUCAAAUCAUCAUGCCCCUUACGUCUUGGGCUUCACGCAUGCUACAAUGGCCGGUACAGAGGGCUGCGAAACCGUGAGGUGGAGCGAAUCCCUUAAAGCUGGUCUCAGUUCGGAUUGGGGUCUGCAACUCGACCCCAUGAAGUCGGAGUCGCUAGUAAUCGCAGAUCAGCAACG
RNAcentral lists this ribosomal RNA (807 nucleotides) under uncultured bacterium. RNAcentral describes it as "bacterial SSU rRNA". It matches the Rfam family "Bacterial small subunit ribosomal RNA", at positions 550 to 1356 of the family's 1533-position model. The record is from RNAcentral.